AGAGUUUGAUCCUGGCUCAGGACGAAUGCUGGCGGCGCGCCUAACACAUGCAAGUCGAACGAGCGAGAGAGAGCUUGCUUUCUCGAGCGAGUGGCGAACGGGUGAGUGACGCAUGAGGAACCUGCCUCAGAGAGGGGGACCACAGUUGGAAACGACUGCUAAUACCGCAUACGCCCACGGCUCGGCAUCGAGCAGAGGGAAAAGGAGCAAUCCGCAUUUGAGGUGGCCUGGCUUCGGAUUAGUUAGUGGGUGAGGUAAUGCCCCACCAAGGCAACGAUAGGUAGCCGGAUUGAGAGGUUGCACGGCCACAUUGGGAUUGAGACACGGCCCAGAUUCUUAGGGGAGGCAGCAGUGGGGAAUAUUGCACAAUGGGGGAAACCUUGAUGCAGCAACGCCGCGUGAAGGAAGAAGGUCUUCGGAUUGUAAAUUUCUGUCCUCAGGGAAGAUAAUGACGGUCCCUGAGGAGGAAGCUCCGGCUAAUUACGUGCCAGCAGCCGCGGUAAUAGGUAGGGAGAGAGCGUUGUCCGGAUUUAUUGGGUGUAAAGGGUGGGUAGGCGGAUGUGCAAUUCAGUAGUGAAAUCCCAGGGUUUACCCCUGGAACUCAUAUUGAAACUUUGGGUCUUGAGUGAGGUAGAGGCAGGCGGAAUUCCCGGUGUAGCGGUGAAAUGCGUAGAGAUCGGGAGGAACACCAGUGGGGAAGGCGGCUUGUUGGGCCUUAACUGACGUUGAGGCAGGAAAGCAUGGGUAGCAAACAGGAUUAGAUCCCUUGGUAGUCCACGCGUGUAAACGAUGAGUACUAGCUGUCGGAGGUUACCCCCUUCGGUGGCGCAGCUAACGCAUUAAGUACUCCGCCUGGGAAGUACGCUCGCAAGAGUGAAACUCAAAGGAAUUGACGGGGACCCGCACAAGCAGCGGAGCAUGUGGUUUAAUUCGAAGCAACGCGAAGAACCUUACCUAAUCUUGACAUCCUUUUGACCGAUGCGUAAUAGCUUCUUUCCCUUUGGGGACAGAAGUGACAGGUGGUGCAUGGUUGUUGUCAGCUUGUGUUGUGAGAUGUUGGGUUAAGUCCCGCAACGAGCGCCACCCUUAUUGCCAGUUAGUACGCAAGAGGCCUUUGGCGAGACUGCCGUUGACAAAACGGAGGAAGGUGGGGAUGACGUCAAAUCAUCAUGCCCCUUAUGAUCUGGGCUACCCACGUACUACAAUGGCGUUUAACAAAGAGAAGCAAGACCGCGAGGUGGAGCAAAACUCAAAAACACCGUCUCAGUUCAGAUUGCAGGCUGCAACUCGCCCGCAUGAAGUCGGAAUUGCUAGUAAUCGCGGAUCAGCAUGCCGCGGUGAAUACGUUCCCGGGCCUUGUACACACCGCCCGUCA
This 1375-nucleotide ribosomal RNA is filed under the name uncultured bacterium. RNAcentral describes it as "bacterial SSU rRNA". It matches the Rfam family "Bacterial small subunit ribosomal RNA". The record is from RNAcentral.